UACGGAGGGAGCUAGCGUUGUUCGGAAUUACUGGGCGUAAAGCGCGCGUAGGCGGCUUUGUAAGUUAGAGGUGAAAGCCCGGGGCUCAACCCCGGAACUGCCUUUAAAACUGCAUCGCUUGAAUCCGGGAGAGGUGAGUGGAAUUCCUGGUGUAGCGGUGAAAUGCGCAGAUAUCAGGAAGAACACCCGUGGCGAAGGCGGCUCUCUGGGACGGUACUGACGCUGAGACGCGAAAGCGUGGGGAGCGAACAGG
This 253-nucleotide ribosomal RNA is filed under the name uncultured bacterium. Its description in RNAcentral is "partial 16S ribosomal RNA". It matches the Rfam family "Bacterial small subunit ribosomal RNA", at positions 524 to 776 of the family's 1533-position model. The record is from RNAcentral.